RNAcentral lists this ribosomal RNA (468 nucleotides) under uncultured bacterium. RNAcentral's name for it is "partial 16S ribosomal RNA". It matches the Rfam family "Bacterial small subunit ribosomal RNA", at positions 28 to 507 of the family's 1533-position model. The record is from RNAcentral.
GACGAACGCUGGCGGCGUGCUUAAUACAUGCAAGUCGAACGGAAAGGCCCUGCCUUUGUUGGGUGCUCGAGUGGCGAACGGGUGAGUAACACGUGAGUAACCUGCCCUUGACUUUGGGAUAACUUUAGGAAACUGGGGCUAAUACCGGAUAUGAGCUCCUGCUGCAUGGUGGGGGUUGGAAAGUUUCGGCGGUUGGGGAUGGACUCGCGGCUUAUCAGCUUGUUGGUGAGGUAGUGGCUUACCAAGGCUUUGACGGGUAGCCGGCCUGAGAGGGUGACCGGCCACAUUGGGACUGAGGUACGGCCCAGACUCCUACGGGAGGCAGCGGUGGAGAAUAUUGCGCAAUAGGCGGAAGCCUGAUACAGCGACGCCGGGUGCGGGAUGACGGCCUUCGGGUUAUAAACCGCUUUCGACUGUGACGAAGCGUGAGUGACGGUAAUGGAUAAGAAAGCACCGGCUAACUACGUG